AGGAGCAACAGCCCCAGUGGCGGGGCCAGCUCUGGAAACCUGGAUUCAGCUCCGGCAGGAACUCCGGAGCUCUCCGUCUGCAGGGCCUGGAGGCUCCGGGGCGGG
Molecule: microRNA precursor, 105 nt
Filed under: Canis lupus dingo (dingo)
Lineage: Eukaryota; Metazoa; Chordata; Mammalia; Carnivora; Canidae
Description: mir-8834 microRNA precursor family
Rfam family: mir-8834 microRNA precursor family
Source: Rfam by way of RNAcentral